RNAcentral lists this long non-coding RNA (1155 nucleotides) under Polistes fuscatus (common paper wasp). RNAcentral describes it as "uncharacterized LOC122519563". Lineage: Eukaryota; Metazoa; Arthropoda; Insecta; Hymenoptera; Vespidae. The record is from RNAcentral.
AGAUCAAAAGACCAUAUGAAUGUUUACAUUAUCCAAUUUCGGUCUUUCAUGGUAAUAUAAUAUAUACAUAUAGAUACGACAAAACCAUUCUCAUAAACUUUACCCGAAUCGUUUUAACAAUUCCCGAAGCUAGUUUACUUUAUGAGAUUGUCACGAGGAAGUUAGAAACGGAGUUUUUUCUUCUCUUUUUUUUUCCAACUUAUCCAUCAUCAUGUUCCCUAGUAUCAUCGUAAAUGCUCUUAUCUUUAUAUUAAAGAGAAAAAAAGAAAGAGAGAGAGAGAGAAAGAGAAAGAAAAAGAGAGAUAAGGUAGAAGAGAUGAUUAAUCGCGAAGAUUGGUUGUUAAUUUACAGCAGGUUUGUAGCAUGACCUUUAUCACGGUUCUACGCAAUAAUCCUUCGGGGUAUUAAUGCACUUGAGCCUUGAGACAGAAGACAAACCACGUUUCGUAUCUGAAUUCUAGAAUUAUUUUAACGGAACGAGAUUUCUCUCUCUCUCUCUCUCUCUCGAUCGUAUAUAGUGAGCAAGUGAGCGAGUGAAUCGUAGAGCGUUGACAGAAGCAGGGAUUUAGACACUCGAGCCUCUCUCCUCGUGUCUCGCGUUUCGUAAUUGAAUGUGUAUGUGUGCUCGACACAAGAGCAACGAGAGGAACGAGUGGAAAGCAAAAUGGCUGUUAAGACUUCGUACAAACAAUUGAUCUUUCUCUCUCUCUCUCUCUCUCUCUCUCUCCCUCUCUCUUUUUCUCACUAUCUCUAUUUCUAGAUCACUGUCGUUAUCACUAUAUCUCUAUCCUUCUCACAGUUCAUCACUCGCAGAAUGCACGGUGUUCACGAUUUACGAUGAAUUGAUGACUGCUUCCAACUCUGGAUAAAAUCGAAUGUGGAUUUCGAUUCGAUGAGAGCCGUGAAGUGAGAACUCUAGCUGCACAUUUCUACCGAUCUAAGUUUCUUACGGUUUUCUCAGUGAAAAGGGUAGAAGUAGAAGAAAAAAAAAAGAGAAAGAAGAGAGAAAGAGAGAAGGAAAGAGAAAUAAGGUGAACCGCGUUAUUAGUUUCUCGAACGCUGCUGAUACCGAUUUUCUACGUACACAAAGCUGAAAGAGUACUAUAUCGAUAGGAAGAGAAGAAUAAAAGUUAAGAAGAGAUAGAAUGAAAGAAA